GACUUGACAUCCCCUGAAUUACCUGUAAUGAGGGAAGCCCUUCGGGGCAGGGAGACAGGUGGUGCAUGGUUGUCGUCAGCUCGUGUCGUGAGAUGUUAGGUUAAGUCCUGCAACGAGCGCAACCCUUAUCAUUAGUUGCUACCAUUAAGUUGAGCACUCUAGUGAGACUGCCCGGGUUAACCGGGAGGAAGGUGGGGAUGACGUCAAAUCAUCAUGCCCCUUAUGUCUAGGGCUACACACGUGCUACAAUGGUGAGUACAGAAAGAUGCAAGACCGUGAGGUGGAGCAAAACUUUUAAAAUUCAUCUCAGUUCGGAUUGUAGGCUGAAACUCGCCUACAUGAAGCUGGAGUUGCUAGUAAUCGCGAAUCAGCAUGUCGCGGUGAAUACGUUCCCGGGCCUUGUACACACCGCCCGUCACACCAUGAGAGCUGGCAACACCCGAAGUCCGUGAGGUAACCGUAAGGAGCCAGCGACCGAAGGUGGGGUUAGUAAUUGGGGUGAAGUCGUAACAUUUAACGGAG
RNAcentral lists this ribosomal RNA (522 nucleotides) under Clostridium sp. ASH024. RNAcentral's name for it is "bacterial SSU rRNA". It matches the Rfam family "Bacterial small subunit ribosomal RNA", at positions 978 to 1504 of the family's 1533-position model. The record is from RNAcentral. Lineage: Bacteria; Bacillati; Bacillota; Clostridia; Eubacteriales; Clostridiaceae.